UACGUAGGGAGCAAGCGUUGUCCGGAAUCAUUGGGCGUAAAGCGCGCGUAGGUGGCCUCAUAAGUCCGCUGUGAAAGUCAAAGGCUCAACCUUUGAAAGCCGAUGGAUACUGUGAGGCUAGAGUACGGAAGAGGCGAGUGGAAUUCCUGGUGUAGCGGUGGAAUGCGCAGAUGUCAGGAGGAACACCGGUGGCGAAGGCGGGUCUCUGGGCCGAUACUGACGCUGAGGAGCGAAAGCGUGGGGAGCGAACAGG
RNAcentral lists this ribosomal RNA (253 nucleotides) under uncultured bacterium. RNAcentral describes it as "partial 16S ribosomal RNA". It matches the Rfam family "Bacterial small subunit ribosomal RNA", at positions 524 to 776 of the family's 1533-position model. The record is from RNAcentral.